UGCAAGUCGAACGGUGAAGCAGAGCUUGCUCUGUGGAUCAGUGGCGAACGGGUGAGUAACACGUGAGUAACCUGCCCUUGACUCUGGGAUAAGCGUUGGAAACGACGUCUAAUACCGGAUACGACCCUCAACCGCAUGGUUAGGGGGUGGAAAGAUUUUUUGGUCAAGGAUGGACUCGCGGCCUAUCAGCUUGUUGGUGAGGUAAUGGCUCACCAAGGCGACGACGGGUAGCCGGCCUGAGAGGGUGACCGGCCACACUGGGACUGAGACACGGCCCAGACUCCUACGGGAGGCAGCAGUGGGGAAUAUUGCACAAUGGGCGCAAGCCUGAUGCAGCAACGCCGCGUGAGGGAUGACGGCCUUCGGGUUGUAAACCUCUUUUAGUAGGGAAGAAGCGAAAGUGACGGUACCUGCAGAAAAAGCACCGGCUAACUACGUGCCAGCAGCCGCGGUAAUACGUAGGGUGCAAGCGUUGUCCGGAAUUAUUGGGCGUAAAGAGCUCGUAGGCGGUUUGUCGCGUCUGCUGUGAAAACUGGAGGCUCAACCUCCAGCCUGCAGUGGGUACGGGCAGACUAGAGUGCGGUAGGGGAGAUUGGAAUUCCUGGUGUAGCGGUGGAAUGCGCAGAUAUCAGGAGGAACACCGAUGGCGAAGGCAGAUCUCUGGGCCGUAACUGACGCUGAGGAGCGAAAGCGUGGGGAGCGAACAGGAUUAGAUACCCUGGUAGUCCACGCCGUAAACGUUGGGAACUAGAUGUGGGGACCAUUCCACGGUCUCCGUGUCGCAGCUAACGCAUUAAGUUCCCCGCCUGGGGAGUACGGCCGCAAGGCUAAAACUCAAAGGAAUUGACGG
Molecule: ribosomal RNA, 850 nt
Filed under: Curtobacterium sp. 762H5
Lineage: Bacteria; Bacillati; Actinomycetota; Actinomycetes; Micrococcales; Microbacteriaceae
Description: bacterial SSU rRNA
Rfam family: Bacterial small subunit ribosomal RNA
Source: RNAcentral